AUGUUUCAGACUCAGAACCUUGUUUCAGACUCAGUAUCUUGUUUCAGGCUCAGUAUCAUGUUUCAGGCUCAGUAUCUUGUUUCAGACUCAGUAUGUGGUUUCAGACUGGGUAUCUUGUUUCAGAUUCAGUAUCAUGUUUCAGACUUAGUACCUUGUUUUAGACUCAGUAUCUUGUUUCAGACUCAGUAUCAUGUUUCAGGCUCAGUAUCUUGUUUCAGACUCAGUAUCAUGUUUCAAGCUCAGCAUCAUGUUUCAGACUCAGUACCUUGUUUCAGACUCGGUAUCAUGUUUCAAGCUCAGUAUCAUGUUUCAGGCUCAGUAUCAUGUUUCAGACUCAGUACCUUGUUUCAGACUCAGUAUCUUGUCUCAGACUCAGUAUCAUGUUUCAGACUCAGUAUCUCGUUUCAGACUCAGUAUUAUGUUUCAGACUCAGUAUCAUAUUUCAGUCUCAGUAUCUUGUUUCAGACUCAGUGUCAUGUUUCAAGCUCAGUAUCAUGUUUCAGGCUCAGUAUCAUGUUUCAAGCUCAGUAUCAUGUUUCAGGCUCAGUAUCAUGUUUCAGACUCAGUAUCAUAUUUCAGACUCAGUAUCUUGUUUCAGACUCAGUAUCAUGUUUCAGACUCAGUAUUAUGUUUCAGACUCAGUAUUAUGUUUCAGACUCAGUAUCAUAUUUCAGACUCAGUAUCUUGUUUCAGACUCAGUACCUUGUUUCAGACUCAGUAUCAUGUUUCAAGCUCAGUAUCAUGCUUCAGGCUCAGUAUCAUGUUUCAGACUCAGUACCUUGUUUCAGACUCAGUAUCUUGUUUCAGACUCAGCAUCAUGUUUCAGACUCAAUAUCUCGUUUCAGACUCAGUAUCAUGUUUCAGGCUCAGUAUCAUGUUUCAGACUCAGUACCUUGUUUCAGACUCAGUAUCAUGUUUCAGACUCAGUAUCAUGUUUCAGGCUCAGUAUCAUGUUUCAGACUCAGUACCUUGUUUCAGACUCAGUAUCAUGUUUCAAGCUCAGUAUCAGAGUGUUGCAUUCACAGCCUGACAAACGUCUUGAGAAACGAGCCUCUCUCUGCAUCUCUUCAGCUCAGACGGGCUGGACCACAGACUGGACCACUCGGGGGUUGGUUCUGGGCCACAUGUGGCCCGCGGGCCACUAAUUUAACGGGCCUGGCUUAA
Molecule: long non-coding RNA, 1164 nt
Filed under: Sparus aurata (gilthead seabream)
Lineage: Eukaryota; Metazoa; Chordata; Actinopteri; Spariformes; Sparidae
Description: lncRNA (ENSSAUG00010017153.1)
Source: RNAcentral